AAAAGCCUUUGCAUCUGCCGGAGCGGAGGCCAGGGCUGCUGGAUCCGGCGACCCCGCCCGUCCCGCCUGCUGAUUCGGCCGGCCGGA
Molecule: microRNA precursor, 87 nt
Filed under: Oryza longistaminata (longstamen rice)
Lineage: Eukaryota; Viridiplantae; Streptophyta; Magnoliopsida; Poales; Poaceae
Description: pre miRNA MIR1846
Rfam family: MIR1846 microRNA precursor family
Source: RNAcentral